UCUCGUUCUAAGCUCCACAGUCCGCUCUCUCUCUCACUUCACGUUCUGAGAGAGCCACAGGCACGGCCGCACGAGAAUAUAGACUCGGAGGCGAUGAGCUAGCAAGUCGCGACCUCGUCACCGCCGCGGAGGCCGGCGUACUACGUGCAGAGUCUGUCACGGGACUCGUACGACGACGAGAAGAUGGGGACGACGGCGUCGUUCCACUCAACGCCGGUGCUGAGCUCGGUGGGGUCACCGCCGCACUCUCACUACUCCUCCACUGUUGGCCGCCACUCCCGCAAGUCCUCCUCCAGUCGAUUCUCCGUCGGAUCUCCCCCGCCGCCGC
RNAcentral lists this long non-coding RNA (328 nucleotides) under Actinidia chinensis (golden kiwifruit). Its description in RNAcentral is "long non-coding RNA (ACHI_LNC006030)". The record is from RNAcentral. Lineage: Eukaryota; Viridiplantae; Streptophyta; Magnoliopsida; Ericales; Actinidiaceae.